UAGCGGAACUCCUACGGGAGGCAGCAGUGAGGAAUAUUGGUCAAUGGGCGCGAGCCUGAACCAGCCAAGUCGCGUGAGGGAAGACGGUCCUAUGGAUUGUAAACCUCUUUUGUCGGGGAGCAAAAGACGCCACGCGUGGCGUUCCGAGAGUACCCGAAGAAAAAGCAUCGGCUAACUCCGUGCCAGCAGCCGCGGUAAUACGGAGGAUGCGAGCGUUAUCCGGAUUUAUUGGGUUUAAAGGGUGCGCAGGCGGAAGAUCAAGUCAGCGGUAAAAUUGAGAGGCUCAACCUCUUCGAGCCGUUGAAACUGGUUUUCUUGAGUGAGCGAGAAGUAUGCGGAAUGCGUGGUGUAGCGGUGAAAUGCAUAGAUAUCACGCAGAACUCCGAUUGCGAAGGCAGCAUACCGGCGCUCAACUGACGCUCAUGCACGAAAGUGUGGGUAUCGAACAGGAUUAGAAACCCUAGUAGUCCACUUAUG
RNAcentral lists this ribosomal RNA (477 nucleotides) under uncultured bacterium. RNAcentral's name for it is "bacterial SSU rRNA". It matches the Rfam family "Bacterial small subunit ribosomal RNA", at positions 328 to 803 of the family's 1533-position model. The record is from RNAcentral.